GAUGAAGAACGCAGCGAAAUGCGAUAAGUAGUGUGAAUUGCAGAAUUCAGUGAAUCAUCGAAUCUUUGAACGCACAUUGCGCCCCUUGGUAUUCCAUGGGGCAUGCCUGUUCGAGCGUCAUUUGUACCUUCAAGCUUUGCUUGGUGUUGGGUGUUUGUCCAUUCUCUUGCAGAGGGACUCGCCUUAAAGUAAUUGGCAGCCAGUGUUUUGGUUUUGAAGCGCAGCACAAGUCGCGAUUCAACGCUAUACGCCAGCUUCCACAAGCCUUUUUCACUUUUGACCUCGGAUCAGGUAGGGAUACCCGCUGAACUUAAGCAUAUCAAUAAGCGGAGA
This 333-nucleotide unclassified non-coding RNA is filed under the name soil metagenome. RNAcentral's name for it is "partial contains 5.8S ribosomal RNA, internal transcribed spacer 2, and large subunit ribosomal RNA". The stretch from base 1 to 120 matches the Rfam family "5.8S ribosomal RNA", at positions 35 to 154 of the family's 154-position model. The record is from RNAcentral.